This 470-nucleotide ribosomal RNA is filed under the name uncultured bacterium. Its description in RNAcentral is "partial 16S ribosomal RNA". It matches the Rfam family "Bacterial small subunit ribosomal RNA", at positions 28 to 507 of the family's 1533-position model. The record is from RNAcentral.
GACGAACGCUGGCGGCGUGCUUAACACAUGCAAGUCGAACGGUGAACGAGGGAGCUUGCUCCCUCCGGAUCAGUGGCGAACGGGUGAGUAACACGUGAGCAAUCUGCCCCGAACUCUGGGAUAAGCGUUGGAAACGACGUCUAAUACCGGAUACGACGCGGGAGGGCAUCCUCUCCGCGUGGAAAGAACUUCGGUUGGGGAUGAGCUCGCGGCCUAUCAGCUUGUUGGUGAGGUAACGGCUCACCAAGGCGACGACGGGUAGCCGGCCUGAGAGGGUGACCGGCCACACUGGGACUGAGACACGGCCCAGACUCCUACGGGAGGCAGCAGUGGGGAAUAUUGCACAAUGGGCGCAAGCCUGAUGCAGCAACGCCGCGUGAGGGACGACGGCCUUCGGGUUGUAAACCUCUUUUAGCAGGGAAGAAGCGAAAGUGACGGUACCUGCAGAAAAAGCACCGGCUAACUACGUG